This 249-nucleotide long non-coding RNA is filed under the name Mytilus galloprovincialis (Mediterranean mussel). Lineage: Eukaryota; Metazoa; Mollusca; Bivalvia; Mytilida; Mytilidae. The record is from RNAcentral.
CCUUCAUCAUCAUCUCCUAUUAUAAUGUCUUCCUCAGUUAUUUCAUCUAAUGAUAAGUAAAAAUCAUCGGACAUGUCAAUUAUCUACUGUGGAGUAUAUCUUUCAUGUAAAUUCCUUUUGAAAAAUCGAAAAUAGCACACACACACAUCCAAGUAAAAAUGUUGCCUUAAAUUUUUGAUUUUUUUUUUAUCACUUCCAAUUGAAUUUGUUCUCAAAAUUCUCUUUUUCACAAAUCCAAGUAAAAAUUGU